AGGGGAGCGCCGGAUCUUGGGCUGUGUCCCCGGCGCCCUGUGCUCCCAGGGCUGCCUGUUGGAUUCACACUAAUGGCCCUGUUGUCCCCU
RNAcentral lists this microRNA precursor (90 nucleotides) under Canis lupus familiaris (dog). RNAcentral describes it as "mir-8799 microRNA precursor family". It matches the Rfam family "mir-8799 microRNA precursor family". The record is from Rfam by way of RNAcentral. RNAcentral also lists the same sequence under 1 other name. Lineage: Eukaryota; Metazoa; Chordata; Mammalia; Carnivora; Canidae.